UCAAACCGUUCUCCGCUUGACGGGUUCAUUCCGCUUCGAAUUCCGCUUCGAAAAUUGUUUCGAAAUUUUCUAAACGGAAUCUCCGGUUGGACUCCGUUUCGAUUCCGUUUAACCAUUUUUGCACAAGGGCGACACCUACUGGUGUACGGCGGAACCUCGAUGACAUUUCGCCGCGUUUCGCCGAAGCGGUUUUUCUGCCAGUGUGUGAGUGAGGUGAAACGUCAAACGUGUUUAAUCGUGGAAAUUUUUGCCAGCGUUGCAGCACGAGAUGAGAAAUCAGAUUUUCUCGAAAUCUCCGGGCUAGUUAUCUCCAGUUGAUUAAUUUCAAGUGUCGUCCUAAAAUAAACGGCGCCUCAAGUGUUUCAAGUGUUCCGGCGACAAUCCGACGGACGACAGAGUAUCUAAUGACCACUGGUCCGUCGAGGCGAUGCUCGGGAAAGAUUAUUGCGGAACUACCUAGAGGCUGCUGCAAGUGGGAGUAGCGGAAGCGGAACUGUCCUGCGUGCUGAUGUUGGAAUUGGAUCAAACCUCCCUAUUCAUGUCAUGAUCGAAACAAGUGCGUGAAGCGGGUGCCUCGUCCGGCUGUGAUCACUUCGAUGUGCGAAACUCGCACAACCGAACCAAAUUUGUCCCGAGCCAAGAACGUUCGAUUGACGACGUUAUGCAUGAGGAGUUUUUGGCGUCAGAGGAGAGAGAAGGGAAAAUGGCAGCGGAUGGACCGGCCGUUCUCUAUGACUACUAUGAAUUUGCGGUGGAAGUCGAUCUGGACCUACGAGUUGCCAAACUUCUGUGUCAGUUGGUCCUCUACGAGAUGACAGACCAGCGGCUCAUCGGAACAUCUUGAGUUUCAAUGGCAUCCAUUUCUUAAACGUCUCCAAAAGCAACCGGGUCUCCAAACAUCACUGAAUCUAAUGCGGACAGGGUACGUUUCGACGUGAUUCAGGAAUCCCCGUUCAAUGAUGUUGAGAUUUGGAUCGUGUUUGUGGACGAGGGAGGUCCUUCGGGAUUGCAUCGACAUCUCAGUUCGGACGAUCAGAACCAGAACAAGUUAAACACGUCACUAUUUUUAACCACCAAAAUCCCCGGGGGAGACGACGAGCAAGAUCUACCUGUUGCAGCAGGACAUAAGCUGCGCAACCCACAGCACGUGGAUAUUCCACACGCCGUCGUCACUACUCAGCAAAUGAUUCUCGUAAAACCCGAUCUCGAACCUCUUCCAUAAAUAAACUGCGAGAGAACUACAUGAAUGUCGGUCGGCGCCAUCGUACCAGUUUACCAAACUGCAAACCUACGAAAGCACACCAAAUCGACGAAAGCGGUUGACGAGCUGGACACCGAGUCUUGGACCAACCCGCCCCUCAAAAUCAUCCGACAAGAUCAACGGCGGCCAAGACGAAGACGAUGGAAUCCCGCGUGUAUCACCCCAGCGUCGAGUACGGUCGAAGCGGGAAUUGUCCGCCGACUUGGAGAGUCACAUUGGACGAUUCCCGCUUUGACCGUACUCGACGCGUUAUCCCAUCGUCUUCGUCUUGGCCGCCACCGAUCGUGUCGGAUGUUUUGCAUGGCCGUUUGUUCCAGGUCAAACUCGGUCUCCAGCUCGUCAACCGAGAAGUGGUUCGAGUACCUAGGAACGAUACCACAGGCGUCUUCUAGUAGGAUAACGAUCAGAAGAUUUAGCGCAGAAGGGAACUUCCCAAGUAUGAGAAUUAAGAUCGACAAUCGGAUGUUUUCGCAACGAUUAUCCCCGGAGCGGAUUGCGGAGAAUGCUACAGCGACACCGUUGUUCACCUUUCUCGACUACCGUCCGGAGGUCCCGAUUCCCCCCAACUAACUUCCCGGAAACAACUCGCAGCAAGGUUAAGCUUCACGUCCUUUCGCCGUCCAACGGCGUACGGUUCGGACCGUAUCUACCGGCAGUUCCAGUGCCGACUGCGAAUGUCCCGCAGCAGACAUCCGGUAGUUUCGAUGGAACUCCAAACAGUGGCGGCGGUUCCGUAGCGGGCCCGAGCAACCGCGAUAUCGACGAAAAUAACUGCAACUUUUGCCUGGACUCGAUCGAAUCGGUGUCCACUGCUGCAACAGGUAGAUCUUGCUGGUCGUCUCCCACGGGAUUUUCGCGAACCUGCCGACUUGGUAUAGCGAUCAUUCAUGUACAUGCACUAAAACCUAUGUAAUUUUGCGAAAAAAUACCAUUAAAAGGGGUAUUUGGGGCUGGGACUCGUGUUUUUGUUUGAAUAAUUGAUAAAUAUAAUCUCAAACUAUAAAAAAUGACCGAUCUGUUUUUUUUCUGGUUGAAUUUCAAUUCAACCAAAACAAAAAGAAAACCAGUAUAUAAAAAACAAGAAGAAGAAGCAGCUGUCAAAACAAACCCGUUCAUUCCGUUUCGAUUCCGUUUGAAUUCCGCUUAAACCGAUUUGCGGCGAAAACUCAAACGGAACCGGUUGUUGCGUUUGAAACGGAAUACGUUUUAGAAUCUAAAACGAACACUGUUUAGAAUUCGAAUCGAACUUUUUUCGCUCAAGCGGAAUUCUAAACGGAAUUCAAACGGAACGCGCUGAGUGGGC
This is a long non-coding RNA of Culex pipiens pallens (northern house mosquito), 2564 nucleotides long. RefSeq lists it as uncharacterized. The transcript has 4 exons. NCBI's taxonomy places the organism in Eukaryota, Metazoa, Arthropoda, Insecta, Diptera, Culicidae. The record is from RefSeq and is a predicted model, not a curated record.